Molecule: ribosomal RNA, 494 nt
Filed under: uncultured bacterium
Lineage: Bacteria
Description: partial 16S ribosomal RNA
Rfam family: Bacterial small subunit ribosomal RNA
Source: RNAcentral
GACGAACGCUGGCGGCGUGCUUAACACAUGCAAGUCGAACGGUGAAGCGCCUUCCUUUUUGGUGGGUGUGGAUGAGUGGCGAACGGGUGAGUAACACGUGAGUAACCUGCCCCCUUCUUCUGGAUAACCGCAUGAAAGUGUGGCUAAUACGGGAUAUUCUGGGUCUGUCGCAUGAUGGGUCUGGGAAAGAUAUUGUUUCGGUGGGGGAUGGGCUCGCGGCCUAUCAGCUUGUUGGUGGGGUGAUGGCCUACCAAGGCGGUGACGGGUAGCCGGCCUGAGGGGGUGGACGGUAACACGAGGACUGAGACACGGCCCAGACUCCGACGGGAGGCAGCAGGGGGGAAUAUUGCACAAUGGGCGCAAGCCUGAUGCAGCGACGCCGCGUGAGGGAUGGAGGCCGUCGGGUUGUGAACCUCUUUCGCCAGUGAAGCAGGCCUGCCUCGUUUGUGGGUGGGUUGACGGUAGCUGGAUAAGAAGCGCCGGCUAACUACGUG